CUGGAAAGCCUUUGCGGCAUGGGAUGGGGUCGCGUCCUAUCAGCUUGAUGGCGGGGUAACGGCCCACCAUGGCUUCGACGGGUAGCCGGCCUGAGAGGGCGACCGGCCACAUUGGGACUGAGAUACGGCCCAGACUCCUACGGGAGGCAGCAGUGGGGAAUAUUGCACAAUGGGCGCAAGCCUGAUGCAGCGACGCCGCGUGAGGGAUGGAGGCCUUCGGGUUGUAAACCUCUUUUGUUAGGGAGCAAGGCAUUUUGUGUUGAGUGUACCUUUCGAAUAAGCACCGGCUAACUACGUGCCAGCAGCCGCGGUAAUACGUAGGGUGCAAGCGUUAUCCGGAAUUAUUGGGCGUAAAGGGCUCGUAGGCGGUUCGUCGCGUCCGGUGUGAAAGUCCAUCGCUUAACGGUGGAUCCGCGCCGGGUACGGGCGGGCUUGAGUGCGGUAGGGGAGACUGGAAUUCCCGGUGUAACGGUGGAAUGUGUAGAUAU
RNAcentral lists this ribosomal RNA (488 nucleotides) under Bifidobacterium breve. RNAcentral's name for it is "bacterial SSU rRNA". It matches the Rfam family "Bacterial small subunit ribosomal RNA", at positions 199 to 697 of the family's 1533-position model. Lineage: Bacteria; Bacillati; Actinomycetota; Actinomycetes; Bifidobacteriales; Bifidobacteriaceae. The record is from RNAcentral.